Molecule: transfer RNA, 71 nt
Filed under: Marmota monax (woodchuck)
Lineage: Eukaryota; Metazoa; Chordata; Mammalia; Rodentia; Sciuridae
Description: tRNA.Gly
Rfam family: tRNA
About the family: Transfer RNA (tRNA) molecules are approximately 80 nucleotides in length.
Source: RNAcentral
GGGGUUGUGGCUCAGUGAUAGAGCGCUUGCAUACCACGUUAGAGACCCUGGGUUCGAUCCUCAGCGCCACA